GGGACACGUGGUAUCCUGUCUGAAUAUGGGGGGACCAUCCUCCAAGGCUAAAUACUCCUGACUGACCGAUAGUGAACCAGUACCGUGAGGGAAAGGCGAAAAGAACCCCGGCGAGGGGAGUGAAAAAGAACCUGAAACCGUGUACGUACAAGCAGUGGGAGCACGCUUAGGCGUGUGACUGCGUACCUUUUGUAUAAUGGGUCAGCGACUUAUAUUCUGUAGCAAGGUUAACCGAAUAGGGGAGCCGAAGGGAAACCGAGUCUUAACUGGGCGUUAAGUUGCAGGGUAUAGACCCGAAACCCGGUGAUCUAGCCAUGGGCAGGUUGAAGGUUGGGUAACACUAACUGGAGGACCGAACCGACUAAUGUUGAAAAAUUAGCGGAUGACUUGUGGCUGGGGGUGAAAGGCCAAUCAAACCGGGAGAUAGCUGGUUCUCCCCGAAAGCUAUUUAGGUAGCGCCUCGUGAAUUCAUCUCCGGGGGUAGAGCACUGUUUCGGCAAGGGGGUCAUCCCGACUUACCAACCCGAUGCAAACUGCGAAUACCGGAGAAUGUUAUCACGGGAGACACACGGCGGGUGCUAACGUCCGUCGUGAAGAGGGAAACAACCCAGACCGCCAGCUAAGGUCCCAAAGUCAUGGUUAAGUGGGAAACGAUGUGGGAAGGCCCAGACAGCCAGGAUGUUGGCUUAGAAGCAGCCAUCAUUUAAAGAAAGCGUAAUAGCUCACUGGUCGAGUCGGCCUGCGCGGAAGAUGUAACGGGGCUAAACCAUGCACCGAAGCUGCGGCAGCGACGCUUAUGCGUUGUUGGGUAGGGGAGCGUUCUGUAAGCCUGCGAAGGUGUGCUGUGAGGCAUGCUGGAGGUAUCAGAAGUGCGAAUGCUGACAUAAGUAACGAUAAAGCGGGUGAAAAGCCCGCUCGCCGGAAGACCAAGGGUUCCUGUCCAACGUUAAUCGGGGCAGGGUGAGUCGACCCCUAAGGCGAGGCCGAAAGGCGUAGUCGAUGGGAAACAGGUUAAUAUUCCUGUACUUGGUGUUACUGCGAAGGGGGGACGGAGAAGGCUAUGUUGGCCGGGCGACGGUUGUCCCGGUUUAAGCGUGUAGGCUGGUUUUCCAGGCAAAUCCGGAAAAUCAAGGCUGAGGCGUGAUGACGAGGCACUACGGUGCUGAAGCAACAAAUGCCCUGCUUCCAGGAAAAGCCUCUAAGCAUCAGGUAACAUCAAAUCGUACCCCAAACCGACACAGGUGGUCAGGUAGAGAAUACCAAGGCGCUUGAGAGAACUCGGGUGAAGGAACUAGGCAAAAUGGUGCCGUAACUUCGGGAGAAGGCACGCUGAUAUGUAGGUGAAGUCCCUUGCGGAUGGAGCUGAAAUCAGUCGAAGAUACCAGCUGGCUGCAACUGUUUAUUAAAAACACAGCACUGUGCAAACACGAAAGUGGACGUAUACGGUGUGACGCCUGCCCGGUGCCGGAAGGUUAAUUGAUGGGGUCAGCGCAAGCGAAGCUCUUGAUCGAAGCCCCGGUAAACGGCGGCCGUAACUAUAACGGUCCUAAGGUAGCGAAAUUCCUUGUCGGGUAAGUUCCGACCUGCACGAAUGGCGUAAUGAUGGCCAGGCUGUCUCCACCCGAGACUCAGUGAAAUUGAACUCGCUGUGAAGAUGCAGUGUACCCGCGGCAAGACGGAAAGACCCCGUGAACCUUUACUAUAGCUUGACACUGAACAUUGAGCCUUGAUGUGUAGGAUAGGUGGGAGGCUUUGAAGUGUGGACGCCAGUCUGCAUGGAGCCGACCUUGAAAUACCACCCUUUAAUGUUUGAUGUUCUAACGUGGACCCGUAAUCCGGGUUGCGGACAGUGUCUGGUGGGUAGUUUGACUGGGGCGGUCUCCUCCUAAAGAGUAACGGAG
Molecule: ribosomal RNA, 1901 nt
Filed under: Escherichia coli
Lineage: Bacteria; Pseudomonadati; Pseudomonadota; Gammaproteobacteria; Enterobacterales; Enterobacteriaceae
Description: partial 23S ribosomal RNA
Rfam family: Bacterial large subunit ribosomal RNA
Source: RNAcentral